RNAcentral lists this ribosomal RNA (1023 nucleotides) under Triticum aestivum (bread wheat). Its description in RNAcentral is "partial small subunit ribosomal RNA". Lineage: Eukaryota; Viridiplantae; Streptophyta; Magnoliopsida; Poales; Poaceae. The record is from RNAcentral.
AUGAGCCGACCCGUGCUUCAGUUCCUUGUCCGAUUCCACGUAAACGAAUGGAGAGUGUACCUUGACCCUGCUCCUCCAGUCCGGGUGGCAUCCAGCCGGGCAUGGCAGCCUCCCCCUCCAGAUAUAGUAAAGAUUAACAUCGAUGGUGCAUACAAUGUUGAAUCGGGGAAGGGAGGAUGGGGGCUUGUCUAUCGCGACUCCCACAAUGAGAUUCUGUUUGCCGCGGCGGGUUCCUCUAGCUUUCUUUCGGACGCAUUGCAUGCUGAAUCUUUGGCCCUGGUGCAUGCUAUCAACACCGCUGAUCAUCUGGGAGUGGGCAAAGUUCAGUUCAAAACGGAUUGCUCAAUACUCCAACAUCAGAAGUGGCAACAAAAGACUAGCUACAACCCCCUAUACGCAAGUAGCAGAAGUGCCCCCACAAUUGUUGAGCUGCUGGCUCCUUUUGUUAAUUGUGCACUAUUGAGUGAAUCUGCAACAGCAAACACAGUAAUUCAGUUAGCCAAUGUUUACCUGCUCAUGACCCUGCAUUGCGGUUUGCUGGUCAACAUGCAGAGUUGGAUCAUAAUAUUCAACAGAAAAAACUUUAUAACCAGAAGCGAAGGCAGCACCGCCCGUGCUGACGUGCACGCGGAGCAGCCUACCGAUCGAACUACCUCGCGUGGCGGGGCAUCGUUAUCUAGCUGCUGCUUAUACAAGGCCACAGCCACAGUACAACUCACGCACCACCAUCAACACACCCGGACGCAUGCAUGCACAACGGCGCUAUCCAUGGCUGCCUCUGCCGCCGACGACAUUGCCGAGCUUGCGAUCACCUCGCUUCUCCUCAACACGCGGUUCCGCCCGUUCCAUCUGAGGCAGUACGACGGGUUCUGGCUCCUGGAGGAGUUCCUCAUGGACGUUCCCGCCGUCCACUCGGUCUUCGAGCCGAGGCCGUCGGACGUCCUCCUUCGCAAAGUGCGGCACCACCUGGCUCAAGGCUAUCGUCUUCGCCACGCGCAACCGGGCCGAGCACCCGCCAUGUGA